AGGUGACGUACAUUCAGUGUUUGUCUGCCAGCAGAUUUCAUCAAGACAAACGCAAAGAUAACGACUUGCAAUGAUGCUUCUCUUCGUUUGUCUCUUGUGCCUCCCACUGUCGGUUCUCGGUGAUGACCGAGACGCCCACCUGUAUAGAGUGGACAUCUAUAUGCCUCCCGAGAAGGGGAGGGACGAGACGGCAGAGAUACGUCAGAUUAAUGACAAACUGAACGAUCUUACUGACAUCAAGGUUCUCUUUUCAUUUAAGGAGCUCUGAAAUCCAAGAAUACUUCUUGUUCUUGACGUUGAGGAGCCAGGAAGCUGGUCCCAGUUGACGGGUUUUCUGUCAAGGAAGGGAUACGAGUUCAGCGCCGUGUCCCUCUAUCCAUGCGGUGACUUCGCCAAAGUGCUUGGCGUCACCAUGCCCGACGACAUGUGGGCGUCAUCUUUUGAGGAUAAGGAUCUCCUGAUG
Molecule: long non-coding RNA, 463 nt
Organism: Haliotis rubra (blacklip abalone)
Lineage: Eukaryota; Metazoa; Mollusca; Gastropoda; Lepetellida; Haliotidae
Exons: 4
Source: RefSeq, a predicted model, not a curated record